ACAUGAUGUGCAGCAAAAAGAAAGUCCCUAAUGCUGCGAGGUGAAAUAUUAUAAAUUGUAAAUCAGGGAAAGAGAACUGCACUUCGUGAAUGAAUUGCAUAAUAUAAACACAUUAGCAUUUCAUCGUCAUUGAACCCAAAUAACUACACAACUACCGAUAAGCAAGAUGCCAUCAUAUGUGACUUCAUUUCAAGCUGUUGAAAUCUAACGGAACUUAUUUUUCCUACGGACUUAAGAAAAGAAAAGAAAAGCAAAGGAAAUACUACUUGAUACAUGUAGAGCUUGGCCCCAGCACUUCAACGGAAAUUACUCAUAAUAACAGGUACAAUUUUUCCUCUCAAUGCUGUAAAUACUGAGGAGGCUCCACAGCUCGCCUGAAAACAGUGCAAGCACCGGAAAUCAAGUCCAUAAUAAACAUCUAAUUGAAUCCCUUCUGAUACCAAAUAAUCUGUACUUUCCACGACAAUUAGCAACUUCCCCCCCUGAAUCCACCAAACAAAUAAAGCCUAUUCUGUGAAGACACUCAUGAGAUCAUUUGGAGGAAAUUGCUGCAAUACUGGAAUGCCCACUCUCGCAACAUCUAAGUAUUCCAUAUUUGGCUCCUGCUUCACUUUACUGCCAUUGUUCUCUACAUAAGUUUUUCCUUGGCUCAAGUUGCUAAUUGGUGCUGUAAAUUCAUCCACUGAAAACUGGCUAGGAAGGAAAGUCCCUUUACCAACAAAUCCAAGGUACCUAAGUGGUCCUUGAUCAAGAACUUCACCUGACUUUGCACCAUAAGAACACAGGAUGUCACAAAUAUUUGAAUCAAGCCCUGGUAAAUGUCUAGCAGCUCCAAAGGUAAUGGCUGAAUUUUGAACUUGACGAGUGAUGCCACUGUCAGCAUUGACAGAAGAUGAUGAUGCAGAAGGAGAUAUGGAACCAGGGGCUGAGUACCCAUUAACAACAACUGUAGUUUUUAGAUUCCCAUCUGGCAUGUGCCCAAUAUUCAAUGAAGAAUUAUUUGACUGAGAUGACAGAAGGCUAUAAUCAAUGACAGAAUUCCUGUUAAAGUUGCAACUCUGAUUGACUGAAGCAGGACUAUUUCCUGCCUGAAAACUGGCUGAUGACUGAGAAGGGACCACCAGGCAAGAUGGCUGUACAUUAAUUGAACGGCUGGGCUCUGAUAAUGACUGCUGCUGUGGUUGUUGCUGAUGAUGUAACAUGUCCAUCAACAUGCUACCAUUUUGAGUACUCAUACCUCCAGGAUUAGUAUUAGAAGUCCAGGCUCCAAGUCCAGAAGUAACAAGUUCAACAGAUACCAUAUUUUGUGGGAAAGGUUUCGAAAUAUUGGAUUGGCAUUUUACCAAUGGCUGACCAAAUGCCACACCAUGUUCAACAGGAAUACACUUGGGACCCUGUAUGGAUGCUUGUAAAAGAGCUGGUUGGUCCACUGUUGUAACUAGGCUACCUGCUGGUCGACCAAGAAGUUCAGCAUGCAGCGCCGCUAAUGUUUGCGGAGGAAUCUGACCCGAGGCAGCCAAAGCUUGAAUGUCAAAUCUUCCAAGUGAAUUAAGUUUUACAUUUGAGUCCAUGGGGCCACAGAAUGCAUUGGAAAUCCCACCUUGUUGAGCAACCCCACUUAAUCUCUUCAGAUACAGUCUAAACUUCUGCAAAUGACUUGCAACAUUUUCCCUGGUUAAACCAGGUACAUUCAUCAAUUCUAGAAUUCUCUUAGGUACAGCCUUGUCAAUUCCAAGCUGGUUUACAGCACUGACAAAUUGUUGAUGAAGCUCCACAGACCAUACAACACGUGGUUUCUUUGAUGUAGAGGGAUCGUCAUUUUCUGGUUCACCAUCAUCUUCAUCUUUGGAAUUGCUCCUCUUUUUGUGACCUUUCAGAACUCCUUCUGUUCCCUCAUUGACAGAAGAAGUAUAUUCAGCAUCAUCAUUUCCCCGUUUAUUCCGAUCACUAUCUUCCAAGCUUCCAGAAUGUUCAAGUUCUUUAUUUUCAUUCCACUUUUUCCUAACAACAUGCUGCCAUAUAUUCUUGAGCUCUUCUUCACGUAUAGGUUUAAUCAAAUAAUCACAAGCUCCAUGUCUAAUCCCCCUCAUUACAGCACUUGUUCUUCCGUCAGCAGACAUCAUAAUAACAGGAAGGUCCAUUUCUAAGCCAACAUGCUCAAGAAGUUUAAAUCCAUCCAUAUCAGGCAUAUGAACGUCACUUAGUACCACAUCAAAACAGCCUUUCCUUUCCCUAAGAAGAUUCAAAGCUACUUUGGCCUGGGAACAAGUUGUAACGUGAUAAAGGCAACGGCGAAGCAUCUGCUCAAGAAUCCUCAAGCAAGUAAUGUCAUCAUCCACUACCAAAACACGCAAGCCUGCCGGAAACUGAUCAGACACCACCGCAUCGGCAGCAGCACCUUUACAAGAACCAUAAUUACUGGCAGUCGCGCUCACGCUCGACGCCACUCGCUGCAAAGCAGCCAUUACCAGUCAAAAACACAAACAGAGAAGUUACAGUGUAGUCUCUGACACUCCCUGCCAACGUGAGCAAACCCUAAACAAACUCUCUAACAGUAAAUUGCACACAUAGAGAGCUAAAAAUGAGCAUAGUAGGCAGUGGAGGAGUGGAAUUGGAGUAAAAUAGAGCUAGAUCUAUGGGGAUAAACCCUAGAAAAGGACCAAAAUGGGAGAAAACAAGCGACGAAGGAUGGAUUUAAGGGAGAUAGUUGUGAAGAGAUCCGUUAGAAAGUGGGAGAAAAAUGGCAAAAUUGCGGGAUUCUGUUGACGGAGAAGUGUUGAAUUUGGGAGGGAGAGGAGAGAGAACUGAAGAAAGGGGAAGGAAGAGAGAGAGAGAGAGCGAGAAUGAUAAUGAAGAAU
Molecule: unclassified non-coding RNA, 2858 nt
Filed under: Hevea brasiliensis (rubber tree)
Lineage: Eukaryota; Viridiplantae; Streptophyta; Magnoliopsida; Malpighiales; Euphorbiaceae
Source: RNAcentral